UGAGGAAUAUUGGUCAAUGGACGCAAGUCUGAACCAGCCAAGUAGCGUGCAGGAUGACGGCCCUAUGGGUUGUAAACUGCUUUUAUAUGGGGAUAAAGUGGGGAACGUGUUCCCUUUUGCAGGUACCAUAUGAAUAAGGACCAGCUAAUUCCGUGCCAGCAGCCGCGGUAAUACGGAAGGUUCGGGCGUUAUCCAGAUUUAUUGGGUUUAAAGGGAGCGUAGGCCGUUUGGUAAGCGUGUUGUGAAAUGUAGGAGCUCAACUUCUAGAUUGCAGCGCGAACUGUCAGACUUGAGUGCGCACAACGUAGGCGGAAUUCAUGGUGUAGCGGUGAAAUGCUUAGAUAUCAUGAAGAACUCCGAUUGCGAAGGCAGCUUACGGGAGCGCAACUGACGCUGAAGCUCGAAGGUGCGGGUAUCGAACAGG
This 424-nucleotide ribosomal RNA is filed under the name Verrucomicrobiota bacterium. RNAcentral describes it as "Verrucomicrobia bacterium partial 16S ribosomal RNA". It matches the Rfam family "Bacterial small subunit ribosomal RNA", at positions 355 to 776 of the family's 1533-position model. Lineage: Bacteria; Pseudomonadati; Verrucomicrobiota. The record is from RNAcentral.